Non-coding RNA from Triticum aestivum (bread wheat), 115 nucleotides. The record is from Rfam. Lineage: Eukaryota; Viridiplantae; Streptophyta; Magnoliopsida; Poales; Poaceae.
CAUCUACUCCCUCCGUUCGGAAUUAUUUGUCGUGGAGGUGGAUGUAUCUAGACGUAUUUUAGUUCUAAAUACAUCUAUUUCUGAGACAAGUAAUUCCGAACGGUGGGAGUAGCAG